This 694-nucleotide long non-coding RNA is filed under the name Elaeis guineensis (African oil palm). RNAcentral's name for it is "long non-coding RNA (EGUI_LNC041856)". Lineage: Eukaryota; Viridiplantae; Streptophyta; Magnoliopsida; Arecales; Arecaceae. The record is from RNAcentral.
UGAAGACGUAACAGAUAUUUGGCAUCAUAACGUAGAUGACCCAAGAUGUGUACCCUAUGCAUCAGCAGAUGGCCGACCGUAUGAGGUCAGUUCUUAGAUGAAGCCAGCAUCAUCAGCUUUUAGCCGACUUGGCCUUAACGCCGUCCCAAAUCUCUACAAGCUACGCUAUGGUUCUUACGAACUAGACUAUAGAUUGAAAAACACAGAUAAUCACUAGUGCACUGAUGAUGAUGAGUUGGCAUUCUGUUACAACCUCUCAUUAUUUUUCUAGAUGUGGACAGCUGGUCCUGUAACAACCUGCUAACACCCACUACUCCGACUCUGACAGCCACUACUUUGGCUCUGACAGGCACUAAUCGUUUAGUAAAUUUUUCUAUAAAAGGAAAGGAUAAGAGAAAAAAGAGAGGAUUCUGGAUAUCCUACUCACUCUCAUCAUCUUUCUUAUUCACAAUUCUUCCUCUCCAACACUCUCUGAUUUAACCAUCGGAGGGUCUCCCAUCAAAGAACCCCCACCUUCUUCUCCGACGUAUGCGAAAUUUUUUGUAGUUCCUCAAGAUCCAGAUUGGUACUCGACUAUUCUAGCUUAGCGAAUAAUCUGUGUUUUCUUGCCACCUCACCAUCUAGUCGGAGAGGCACAGCAACAGAUUGACGCUAGAGGAAGGGUAUCAUCCCAUUUUCUGGAGGAAGAUGGUGA